UCGGACGUGGUGCACGGUGCACGCCUGCUCUCCUUAGGUGUGUGAAGCAAUUAUAUGAAGCAGGAGGCCUGGGUUCGACUCCCAGCGUCUGAA
Non-coding RNA from Mycena latifolia, 93 nucleotides. The record is from the annotation of a GenBank genome assembly. Lineage: Eukaryota; Fungi; Basidiomycota; Agaricomycetes; Agaricales; Mycenaceae.